ACAGGUGGAAACCAACCACCCGAUUGGGGGGUUUAAGCGCGCACGCUAAACUGUUUUGACAAUCACAAACCUGCCAUGUUGUGUUGGACGUUGUGUUAGCCCGGAGAAAGGAAAACGUGCUGGUUCCACAUUCCACAAUUCGCCACAAAUAAUUUUUGCGCAGGUGAGAAGAAUCAUACUGAUCAUACUGACCCCUUUAAGAGGCAACAAAAUACGCUGCAACACCCCCUCCCCUCCCCCCCCCCGACCCGGUCACAGUCUCCCAAAAGUCCAGACAACAAGGCCGUUUUGAGAUUUAUGUCCGGUCUUACAGUUUCGGGUGUAAGACUUUAGGUAUCAAAGAUCCACGUGGACGGAAGGCCGAUACAUUUGUGUACGUGCGUCCUUGACUUUGUGUCCUCAGCGCAGAAACCAGCGGGAAAUAGGAAGAACCGGGUAUUCUGAGGAGCUGUUGGAUCAAACGAACACAAGCAGCAAAGUGAUUACACAAAAAUAAAUGGUCUUUCCGAUCUUUCUCUAUUUAACGGUUUCCUGAAAGCCGUUUGUAAAGGACAGGCGGACAAGCCAGAGACAGAUAGAUGGAGGUCAGUAGCGGAUCAGCCGUGGGAAAGAGGCAACGGAGGGAAACACAGCAGUGAAAGGGGGCCGACUGCAGAGACGCCGCCAAGCACACCGACCACGGCUUGCUCUUAACGGGCGGCCUGAAAAAAAGACACACGCACCGUUGCUUAAGUUGCAUCGGCUUGAACUUGAAUUGGCCGAGUGCCCAAAGUGGCCUGUCGGAAGUAAGUGAGACGCGGCGCAGCUGCAGCCCGAGUGUGUUUGUGUGCGCCGCUACAGUACGGCACUUUUUUAACCUCUGUCGCAACCUCUGGCCGCACUCGUGGCCUGGUGAUCGGAUGCACUGAUAAAAACGCUGUGUGUCUGUGUGUGUGUGUGUGUGUGUGUGUGUGUGUCUUCACUCGUCAGCACUGUAGGGCAGCAGGGCAUUGUGGGACAGUGCCGGGUUUCGGGGGCAAAGGUCUGGUCUCUGUCACUGUGAUUGAGUCUACAGCUUAUAAACACGCAGAAUGGACACUGCUCGGGUCUCUAUUUCACGCAGUUUAUACGUGUGUGUGUGUGUGUGGUUUGAUCCUACAAAGUCCCAGCACCCCUACUAAAUCCUUCACAGCAGCCAUUUGCCCCCCCGUCCCCCCUCUUCCUCCACUGUCCCCACUACUAACUUCACUCCCUGUUGCUGGAUGUCUGCUCACCUCCGUGCAGCCAAAACAAAUGGAGUCAAAACAUUUGAGAAUAAACACUCUUUUUAAGCCACCUUGCAGGCCGCACACUCGAUCCUGUUAAAAUCGGUGUUUUGAAGCCGAACCUGAAGCGACGGCGAACCGGAGAUGUGUUGUUGUUUGGCUUUGUUUACACCCCAGCGUGGCACGUCGGCGUUUCCUCCCAGAGGCACUGAGGGCGUUGGAACCCAGUGGGCUGUAAAUAAAUGCUAUAAUCCAACCUCAACAAGUGCAGAGACGGGAUUGAAAGUUACCGUUACACAUGUGGCCUUCAGACGAGUCGACGGCGUGAGCGACCACAUGCAACAAGUGUCCGGUGGGACAACAAAGGACUCUGAAAUGGGUUUUGUCUAUUAACAGAGCAAAGAGAAGGUCGGUCUACAACACACACACACACACACACACGCACAAACACACACACGGAGGAAGAGCAGCAAUGUCUGCUGAGUAAAUGUUCUGAAUCCCGUUUAUAGAACCAUUAACAGGUGUAGUUUUCCUUGUGUGUGACAAUAAACGCACGGGACAUUUCAUUUCAACAGGCGACACCGCCGACUCUCAGCCACAUCUAAGACAAAUAACAAUUCUACGUUGUUGUGUCAAGGGUAUCGGUGUCUGUUAAAUAGUAUUAUAUGUAUCUGGCAAAGCUAGAUUGUGAUUCAUGUUCUGUGAUUCGUUGUUUUCAAAUCUAAACUGGUAUUUGAAAGGUUUAAAUCUUUAGACAAUUAUUAAAAAAAAUGUUUUUAUUAGCUCAUCCUCCAGAUUUAUGGUGUCUUUUUUUGAAGUGUUACAGAUAUCCAACACUACUUUUAGAGCUUGCAUUGAGGAUUUAAGAUUCACAGGAGGAUUGCGCAGACAAAUCACUCGAGGGCUCCAGGGAAGUUUAUCCAAAGUACAGAUUAUGCACGACCGAAUCAUUUCAUAUCUCUGUUCCUCUGUAAAUGAAGGGGAUGCAACGUCAGGAUUUUCAUUACACACCUAAUUAUCUGUGUAACACUUGACCGUCACUGAUAUUAUUCACACCUGAUCACUCAGGCUGUUGUUAACAUGCGGGGCGAUGAUGGAGAGGGAUGAUAAACAGUGCUGCGCCCUUAUUGGCUGGAUCAGGUUCGGUGCUUUGAUCCUCUUCCUCCUCAUUAGUCAGCGGGGGAAUAAGUCGCCCAGAGCGACAGGUGUGCGAGUCUGUUUAUACAUGUCGACAUUUCUGUAACACAUUAAAUAAGGUGCAAAAAUUCCAGAACACUCACCAGAAAACGUGUUUGUCCGAGCUCUAUCAUAUUUAACAUUACAUUUGACUUUUAGUUCAUUUUGAAGGAAGAAAAAACGGAUUUCGUUUUUUUUUUUUUUGUUCCUGCAGAUGAAAUGAUCUCAUCACAUCAUAUCUCCUCUGUCUACGUGGUCGGGUUAGCUCAUAGUUUCACACUCAUAAACAGACCACGGACACACACACACACACACACACACACACACUAUGACAUUCAGGGGUAAUUACUGUAGCUCACUGUGCUAAAGGGAGACAGAGCAUUAUCAGACCCCAGGAAGAGCGAUAUGAGCAGUCCCUGAAGGCAGCACACUGAGGGCUGUGUUUUCUGCAUCCACGUACGUGUCUUUGUCUCUGUGGCAAGAGGGUGAGGUGGGGGGGGGGGGUGUUAGCCUGCUCUUGUGAACAAACUCCAGGCUCGGGUAAGAUACACCCACGUAACCUGCCGAUAUCUCCGGAUAAACCGGCCAAAAGCUGCUGAUAGCUGGGGUGUUAACUGCCCCAGAUGAAUGAAAACCAACGCCUUUCUGGGCGAAGACAUUACGCACAUCACCCUCCUCCCCUGGCUGUCUCCCUUCCAGCCUACAAUCUCCCCCCCAGGUCCCGCAGGGGAGCCGUCGCCCCCACCGGGCCCAGCAUCCCGGCUGCACCAGGGCUGCUCCGCCGAUACGCCUCUCGUCUCGAUGUUCAGGGAGGGAACGCGUGUGCAAAUAUUUGACUUGCAUGGACACACACACCCUCCCACUGCACAGCCGUGAAAGCCUGAUUUCCAACACUGGUGUAAUGCAACACGGCAUGCCUUUGGUUGUCUUUAUGACAGAAAAGUAGAAAGAAAGAACAAAUAAAAGAAAGACAGAAGAAUGUGGAAUUAGCGGUUUGUGGCAUGAAGUGAUGGUGUGUUGUGUACACGAGUGUGUGUGUGAGCGUGUGUGAGUGUGUCAGUUCUCCCAUGAGAUGCAGAUAUAAUGCUACCGGAGGCUAACAGGAGAUGACCAAGAGGUGAGAUGUGAGUUGUGAUACAAAAAGCCUCUAACACACACACACACAUUCAGCAUCAAAUCCCAAGGGAGCGUUAAGAUCCUAUGAACCCAAGUCCCAAAGCAGGAAGCAGACUAGUACGUGUGUGUGUGUGUGUGUGUGUGUGUGCACAUUAGCUCAUUAGUGUGUGCAUGUGUUUGUUUGUGUCACUGCGGGUGUGACCCAAGCUCCGGUGCAGCUAACAGACAGGUCCACUUAGCCGAGGACAGACACAACAGCACCUCACCUUCAUGCGGUGAUCACAGACAGACGGUGACCUCUCUACUACAGCACAUAGCGUUUCAUCAUGAGGUUAUGAUGCUGAAUACAGAUUUCUCUGAUGACACCACACUUCAUGCAUUUAUGAGAAAGAGAAAGGUCGUUACAGGGUGACCCUUGAAAGAUGUGAUGCUCUGCACUUGUGAGUUUGUGCAGGGACGAAAGUGGACCCUUUGAACAGGUAUUCUUUCCGAGAAUACGGGUGCUUCCACUAAACAUGGAACAGUGUUUGUUUCUUUCCUUAGUUUGGUUGGAAUAAGAACUUAAAGGUCGAUAUGCAGACUGAGCAACGCUUGAAUUUGUUUUUGCCAGUAUGAUUCCACAUUUUUUCCACUUUCCUCUAUUUAUUAUUACUUUGUGCCGUGUGUUUAUGCGUAUUAAUCUCCAUCCCUCCCUCUGCCUUUCUUCUUGUUUCUUUUCCCAGAAGAUUAUUGAAUUGUUUGUGGUUGCAAAGAGGUGGGAUAAAAAGUGUGCCAUCAAUUAUUCUCAUAUUUCCAAGAAUGUCUUGAGUGUAUCACACACACACACACACACACACACACACACACACACACACACGUGCACACACACACACACACACACGUGCACACAUCCAUAUCCACUUCCUCUCACUUGCUUAGAAAUAUUAGGCAAAAUAUCUCUGUCGUUGUGGUGUAUCCACUGUCCAGCUGUUUGAUUUGUAUUUAAUGUUUGGCUUAUUUAUUUGACAGCAGCGGUGUGUAUCUCAAGAGUUGAGAAGUGUGUAGGAAUGUUUGUGUGCGCUUGUGUUUCUCCCUCGGUUUCAUCAACAUCAUCCCUAUAACGUCUUUAAUCGUUAAUAGUUUGCCGACAUAUGUUAAUGAGUUGGCGUUUGUUUUUGCUUUGCGUUUUGUUCAUAAAUAUGUAAUGAUUGGAUUGUAGCUAUUUGCAUUAGUUAUUGAGUCACUUUUGUCAGAUCAUUUUAGUAAAAUGCCAGCAGGUAAACGUCACAGCCAUGAGAUUGCUGUUAUGUAGCAAAACGUGACUCAUCUGGAAAUGUGCAUGGAAAUGAAAACUGUCAAACACUACAUUUGAUUUUUUAGAAUUUUGAUAUGAACUAUGACACUGCUGGAUCCCCUUUUCAAAACCCCUCUUUGUUGGUAAACAAACUGCUGCAGAGUUGUAAGAUUGCUUGUUUUCUUUGUUGAUUCGAGAUUUGUCCAAAUGAUCAUGUAUGAUAAUAUAACAUGUAAAAGACAAAACAGGGUCCUUCUACUUUCAGUGGGCAAAUUUGAGCUCACUUAACUUUUAUUUAGUUGAAUGCAGGUCAUGGCGGUGCAUUUAUUCCCAGUGUACUCUUCAAUCAUUAUAUUACUUUGAGCAAAGGUCUAUCUGAAGGCAUCUGGACCUUUCCAUGACCGAUGAGGCCUCACCUUGCUUUUUUUACUACACUGUUUCUUCUUAGUUUGGGAAAGAAAACGAGCAGAUCUAUCAGCGAGAUGGUGGUCCUUAUCUAUCUCUUUCCCCCUGCAUGCUAAUUAAAGACAAUAAACCUUCCCGAUCAUUUCUCUGCAGCUCCAAACUCACCGUCACCUCUGCUCCUCCAGCACCCGCUCGCACAUGGCCAGAUGGGGUGAGAACACACACACCUACACGCACACACGUGCCUAAACACAUGGUUGUUGGCUUUCCCCCGAGGUAGCAGGUGUUUGUAAACUAAAAUGCUGCGUAGCCGCAUAUAGGCAACGCUGAAAUGCGUGUUUAAAUAAGCACUGAAUGAUAAAAUGCAGGUCUCUUAAAUACACAACGCCACAUCUUUCUGCACCCAGCAUCUAAACGCGCCCCACACACACACACGCGCACAGAUUCAUUUUAUCGUAUGUCUAAGUUUAAAGCUCUCGUUUAUCUUCACUCCGCGCCUUAAACACAGGUGUUUGGAGAGCUUACAGAUGAGUCUGAUGCCAGAUAUCGUGCGACUAUGUUCAAGUCUUCUCUCUCCCUCUCACACAUACGAUUGUUUCCCACAGAAACUUCCCCCCCCCUACUUCACUUAUCACAAACACACAGACUUUACUCAAACAUGUCUUUUCCCCCACUCACCAGCUCCGGCAAUACGCAGAUAUUUAUUUAGCCCAGAGACAGGGAGUCUCAUGAGCAGACCGGCCCUGAGAUUUUUAUUGAGCAAGAAGAUAAAAAGACCAGUUCUGCUCUGCGUCCAUUAGGGCUAAAACGGCCCGAAGAUCGUCUGAUGAAAUGGAAUAAACUGUUGUGGUUAUCUCCCCCUCUGGCUGCGGGGGUGCAGGGGGAGCCGGAGAGAGAAGGAGAGAGAAGGACCACAUACGCACGCUCCCAAAACUACACAUUACCUAACAGACGCACACAAAUCUAUCCCUCCUUGGUAUUGCCCAGGUCUGUAUUUACCCCUAACCAUAACAGAGCAGGCAGAUAAUGGCUGAGGGGACCGUCGUAAAAAUAACCUGGCACACGUCUGUUUGGAUUAACCGCGUCUCCUCACUCUUUCUUUCUGCUUCUUGAUCCCUCCGUUAUGUUUUAUUGCUAUUUUCUAUUCCUACCAUUUUUAAUCUAUCUCUAUUCAUCGAUCAAGCUGAAAUGAAACGACAGUAUGGCCACGAAUAGUUGAUUCUCUUCCUGCUGUAUUGGUAUUAUGUUGUAUUUUUAUUUUGGAAGCGCCUUAUCAACAGAAGAAGCAACAGGGGCUGCUUUUUCUCCCCUCAAACUAGUCUCUUUGUUUGCGCAAGAUAUAAAAUACUUGUCCAAAUAUGUUAAAAAACUGAAUCCGGGGGGGGGGAGAAAACAAGACAGACCAAGAAACCGCAUGUAUCAUUAGUAAUACUUCCCUUGUAGGGAGUCUGAGCUGGAACCACAAGCAUUCCCACAAACACUGCAAUAAAUGUUGGAACAAUAAAACAGCUCAUUCUCUAUUCAGUGUUGCAGUUCUCCCAGUGAACUUCCCCCUCAACAUGAGUGGAUGAAUUGACUCUUAAAGGUGCGAGAUCAAAUAUUUGGAGCAUUUCAAAUUUCGUUUCAGCAGCUUUAGCUCUGUUUUGGUCACCACCAACUCUUGAGGGACAUAUUCAGCUCUUCAGGAGCUGAGUGCUCGACUUUGUUCACAAGCUUUUGCUGGCUUUGUCUAGCUGCUGGUUGGUGGUGGGACCAAUAGAGGGAUCCCAGUAGGGAACCAAAAAAGACAUCGUAAAAUGAUGGGGAAACUACAGACAACAGAUAAUUACAUUUCAAAAUUUGUAUUUCAAAAUGGGAAUAAGAGUGCUUUUUGUAGCUUAGAAUGAACCGUUUUUAUCUACAUAUCUAAAUAGAGCCAUUUGGGUAUUUGCAUUGGCCACAUGAAGCAUAUGAAAUAUGGACAUAUAGGUUUCUGUUACUUCAAAUAACUUUAAUGGCAAAAAAAAACGUCAAUGCUGAAGUUGCUGACUCCUUGCGAUGAACAUUCCCACAGUUAAACCCUUCGUGUUUUCCAGGAUGUGCCUUUUUCAUGAGUCAUGUUCAAUCAAACCGGAAACAAUUAUGUUAAAAAACCAACAACACGACAGUUGAUUCCUUCAAUAAACUCUCUGAACCCCAAAGGAGGACAUCGAAGGCCCGUAAAAUGUUGAUCCCCUUGUCUGAUGAGAAUGGGAGGCCAAUAUUUUAUAUCCUUGUGGAGGACGUGGAUACAAUAUAUCUGACAGAGCUUUAUUAGCUUACUCUUUAAUGACUUCCUGCGCAGAGUGAGUCUGCAGGAGACAGAGGGAGUGGAACUUGCUAAGAAUCUUUUAUUUAUUUGUUUUACUCUUUCUUUUUGCUCUUGGACUUUCUUUGAACUGUUUAUCCUCUUCCCUCAUGCUUCUCAUCCCCGUGGCUGAUUCCUCAUUCGCCUUCCAUCUAUCUAAAACACCGUCCUUUGGAGAGACUGCAAAGUGAAUGCCUCUUCAACAUGAUAAGUAUAUAACCUUGUCCACGUAUUCCUUAGUGUACACCUCUCUCUCUCUCUCUCUCUCUCUCUCUCUCUCUCUCUCUUCUGGACGGCUAAGAUGGGGUUACUAAUGAGCACAUGUUCUGAUGAUGAAGCCUUUUUCCAAGAAUCUUUUCUCCCAAACGCCCGUGGCCUUUGGAUGACUCCCCAAGGAGACCAUUAAUUUAGAUAUCAGUGUGUGUGUGUGUGUGUGUGUGUGUGUGUGUGUGCAUUCGUUUGUGCCUGCAUGUUGCUCUCAUAUGAGUGGGAGAUCUUUGUUGCUUCAUUUCAUUGCACACAAACAGCAGUAUGAGCAAAAGCAGAUCAAUUAGAGUGCGCGCACGUCAGCGAACACGCAACGGCACGGCGCACAAAACCAAACUCCCAAAAGUAUAAGCUGGUAAAACACAACAAACCCUUAUCACAUAUCCCUCCUUCCUAUCAUCAUUCUGCACCUUCACCCCGACUUGUUCCC
Molecule: long non-coding RNA, 8237 nt
Organism: Gasterosteus aculeatus aculeatus (three-spined stickleback)
Lineage: Eukaryota; Metazoa; Chordata; Actinopteri; Perciformes; Gasterosteidae
Source: Ensembl